This 485-nucleotide ribosomal RNA is filed under the name uncultured bacterium. RNAcentral's name for it is "partial 16S ribosomal RNA". It matches the Rfam family "Bacterial small subunit ribosomal RNA", at positions 28 to 507 of the family's 1533-position model. The record is from RNAcentral.
GAUGAACGCUAGCGGCAUGCUUAACACAUGCAAGUCGAGGGGCAGCACAGGUAGCAGUGCCGGGUGGCUACCUGCGCACGGGUGAGUAACGCUUAGGCAACUUACCUAUCAGAGGGGGAUAACCCAGCGAAAGUCGGACUAAUACCGCAUGAAGCAUGUGUCCCUCGUGGGGGUAUGUGCUAAAUAUUCAUCUCUGAUAGAUAGGCAUGCGUUCCAUUAGGCAGUUGGCGGGGUAACGGCCCACCAAACCGACGAUGGAUAGGGGUUCUGAGAGGAAGGUACCCCACAUUGGUACUGGGACACGGACAAAAGGCCUAAGGGAGGCAGCAGUGAGGAAUAUUAGGCAACGGCAGAGAGGAUGAAACAGCCAAGUCGAGUGAGGGACGACGGUGCUACGGAUCGUAAACAUCUUUUAUAAGGGAAUAACGUGCGGGACGGGUACCGUUUUGACAGUACCUUAUGAAUAAGGAUCGGCUAACUCCGUG